ACCAAUAAGGGAGCGUUGAAGCAUUAUCCUCAUAUGGUCACUUGGAUAGUGUGGAGCGAGUAGUGAAACCGGCCUUUAAAAGG
This 83-nucleotide non-coding RNA is filed under the name Chloroflexota bacterium. RNAcentral's name for it is "Chloroflexi bacterium c-di-GMP-II sequence". It matches the Rfam family "Cyclic di-GMP-II riboswitch aptamer". The record is from RNAcentral. Lineage: Bacteria; Bacillati; Chloroflexota.